AUUCGUUGGACAGAAGUCGCCAGGCAGCAGGAGGUGCAGACUGCACGUUAGUUGGCCAGAAGCUUGCCUCGUUCAAGGUUUUCUUCUGGUCCUUCCGUACUCCUGGCAACGAUCAGACCUCGACAUCGGCCUUUUACAGCGGAUUCCCAGUCCAAAUGGGACGCCUGUAAAAACCGUCACAGAUUCUGCGACGACCCGACGUUUAGAUGACGACUCGCCUCUACCGUGAUGUUAUCUGUUGACAAUGAAUGAAAUUGCUUCUACAAGCAUAAAAAAUGAGGAUGGUGAUGGACCUCAAAAUCCAGCUUCAACAGAAGCACCGUCCUCCGAGAGGAAACUGUAUAAAGCGAACCGCAUAAAAUCUGAGCAUGAAAGGCCGAAUUCUCCUGACAGUAACUGCCCGAUUUGCCUCGGUGACUUAAUUAAUAAGUCAUUCACCAACUCGUGUUUGCAUCCAUUUUGUUUCAAUUGUCUUAAAGAAUGGGCGAAGAUAAAACCCGAGUGUCCAUUGUGCAAACAGCAGUUCACCUCUAUCAUUCAUAAUAUUCGAUCUAUAAGUGACUACGAUGAACAUCGCCUGGAACCACGGAUUCCUCUCGAUUCGUCUCACUUCUUCAUUAACUUUGCCAUUCAACAGGGACUCCUACGGGAUCGAGAACACUUGUUGUUCUUAUGGUCGCAACAUGGGUCUGUCGAUCCGACUAUCUUCCAGCAGAUGGGACUACCCCAUUUCACUUCACCUCCCACAACACCUGAGUUCAGGAGAGCCGUCUACCGUCAAGGCCUAUGGGUAAGGCCUUCAAGCAGCAAUAGGCGUAGGGAAAGUUCCCCUGAGUUUUACAGGAACAAUCCGGCCCAGACACAUAGACUUAUUCCAUGGCUUACUAGGGAGCUCAGUAUUCUACUCGAUGUUAGUAUGCCGACUCACAAUGUAUGCAGUGACAUAAUGCGCCUCAUAAACUUAUAUCCCAUCACUAGCUCGACAUUCAGAAGGUUAGUCACUUCCUACUUAGGCUCAAGGACUGACCAUUUCCUUCACGAAUUUUACAAUUUUGCCAUUGCGCCAGAAAAUGACAUGUAUGCUUAUGACUUCAAUGCUGUGUACGCUUCGCCACCUUUUGCACCUGUGAGAAGGCGUGUAAUUCCUAGACCAUUUAGGGAUUUCCUGAACCUCAGCGAAGACUCUGACAAUGAGAAUUAUGGAUCAAAUAGAACAAGCCAGCAGGCACAUUUUACUUCAACUCCUACCACCCAACAACCAAGUUCUCCGAUAGAGGUGAUAGUAGUACCUUCGGAUGAGUCUGACAUUGAAUCAUCUCGUCAUGGGGCUGAUGAUAGUAUUGAAGUGUUUAAUGAAUAUCCUUCAGGACGUUCACGAGCCGCUGAGUUUGCUUCUAAUGCAUAUGCCAGAGCACGUGCCCAAACUCUUGAGAACCGUAUGCAUCAUGCCGCACACACAGCGGAAAUGGUGAUCGUUAUAUCAGAUGAUUCAGAUUCAGAAACAGCCAUUAUUUGGAAUAAAAAAGAGCAGGAUACAACUUUAGACGACAGUGACAGCGAUGCCCAAAUCAUUGCGGAAUUGCCUCCAAGGCAUUUACGAGAACCUGAGAUUGUAAUAAUUGAUUCGACAGACAUGGAAAGUGACGGUAGUGAUAUAAAUAGGAAAAAACCUUCACCAGCUAGGUCGGAAAAACUUUAUAAAAAUAGUGAGGAAAACCAAUCAAAGUUAUUGAAGUAUCCAAAAACAUCUUCAAAGCUCCAACAGGCAGCGGAAAAUGACAUUUAUCUCAAUGCACAACCAUCUACUUCUUAUCAGAUUAAGCACUCUCACCCGAUGUCACACCAAGUGGUAAAUUACUCGGAUAGCUCGUCAGAUUCGGACAGCAAGCAUAGAGACCAAAGAAGGCUUUCUAGAAAAAUGUCACAUCGUAGAUCGAGGAGGAAAAGGCGUCACAAGUCGUACAGUAGUAGUUCCAGCACCAGCAGCACGUCAAGCAGUAGCAGUAGCCGAUCUAGCAGCAGUUCCAGGAGCUAUUCGUCUAUUUCACCUAGAUUGCCAUCACCACCGCCCUACAAAAAAAUGAAAAGUGUAGUCCAUAAGUACAUAACUCGAAAAAGGACGCCUGUGUCAGACUCUGACAGUUUUAGUGAUUAACUUACAUCACGAAUACUGAUUGAGGUUUUUAAAAAGAUAUGAAAUAAAAUUGCUAUUUUCAAGUUGAAUGAUUCAACUGAAAGCUAAGCAACUUAAGUUUUGCUUUUCAUUAAAAAAUUUUCAAUCCUCACCUUUCUGUCUAUUAAAAUUUCCUUUUGGAAAAGUGAAAUUGUGUUAAAUUUUAUUAACACCUCAUCUAGUUUUUGUUUUGUUUUUCUAGUCUUGUCUCAUGAAAGUGACAAAGUAAACUUAUAUUUGUGCCCUGCUGUCAUUAUAAUUCAAGAAAGUGAACAAAAUCUCUACGGCAGAUACUUUCAACGUGAUAGCAUGAAAAAACUUAACUCGCCUUGAUAUAUUGAUUGUACUGCUGGAAAAUGAAUUUACUUUUAAACUGAUCAACAGUUUAUCAUGUGUUGUUUAUGGUGUGUCUACUCUUGCAGGUUUAAUUUCACCCAAACAUGUUUUGACUUCACAGCAUCUUCGGAUAAAAGGAGUUGGCCUAUUUACAACCUUGAGUACCGUGUCCAAUAUUUGUCUAUUUAUCUUAACACGUCUACGUGCUAUGCUUGAACAUUUUGGAACCCUGUUUAUCGUGUUAAAUAGCUCUCUGGCGUCAUCACCUAUAAAGGAGGCUGCAUCGUCUGUGAAGGAAACAGGUAGCAAGUUAGGCUCGAAGAUGGGGGAAGGUGAGGCGUCGAAAGUCAAUUCCUCGAUGAGUGAAUCCAACGAUUUAAAUAAGAAGCUCAUCAAGCUAAAAGAGAAGCUUCCCAUUUGGCAGGUGAAGAUAUCGCAAGUUUUACAAACUGUACAAGACUAUUUGACCAACAGGGAUCAAAAGAAAUAGUCUUAAACAAUGUUUUGUUUCAAA
Molecule: RNA transcript, 3023 nt
Organism: Cimex lectularius (bed bug)
Lineage: Eukaryota; Metazoa; Arthropoda; Insecta; Hemiptera; Cimicidae
Gene: Topors
Gene name: E3 ubiquitin-protein ligase Topors
Exons: 13
Source: RefSeq, a predicted model, not a curated record